This 375-nucleotide ribosomal RNA is filed under the name Triticum aestivum (bread wheat). RNAcentral describes it as "partial small subunit ribosomal RNA". The record is from RNAcentral. Lineage: Eukaryota; Viridiplantae; Streptophyta; Magnoliopsida; Poales; Poaceae.
AUGCGUGAUCAGGUCAGCCUGGACCUGGACGGCUUCCCUCUUGACCAUGAGUUUUCGGAGGACUACGGGCUAGAGGAAGAGGACGAGUGCGACAUCGAAGGGGAGCCUUUGUUCGAGGACAAGCUCGCCAACCAAGCCGUCGGGCCGAAGCCAAAGCACAAGAGCAAGCGAACCAAGGCAUACACGGCGGCCGAGGACAAGCUUCUUUGCGAGUGUUGGAGAGAUAUUGGGCAAGUCCCCAAGACGGGCACCAAACAAAAGCAUUCAACCUUUUGGAUUCGUGUCCACCGUGAGUUCCAUCAGCGCAAGAAGUUUCCGCCGUACCAAAUAGUAAGCGCGCGCGGGUGGUGUCCAUUUCGAAGCGAUGGAGGGUGA